CAGAUGCCAAGUUGAUGAGAAACAUCUAGUUAAUGUUUAGUUUAUGGUUCUGAAGAAUAAUGAUUAUUUUAGCAUACUCCUUUCCCCUGGAACCCGAUGCUAUUGUUUUACCAGUCAUGUGUAUAAAUAGCCAACAGGAAUGACGAGUUACAAACACCUUAAUUUGUUGCUUUAUUAAGAGAUGGAGGCUGUCUGUGUUCUGCUGCUGUUGCUGUGUUGCUGCAGUCUGUCUGGUGCGCAAGUUGAGAGCAGUAGUGAGGGAAACGUCACAAACGAAAUCUCUCAACGCUUUGACGACAAAGUAGGAAACAACUUGAUGAAAGAGCUGAUGGAGAGUCUCGGUGAAGUGGCAGGCACCACCGGCUCCCGAUCGGACAUCUACACUGUGCUGAGAGAACUUAGUGCCAAAGUGGAAAAUCUGGAGACGGCAGAGAGACAUAAGGUGGCGUUCUCAGCCUCACUCUUCCCAUCAUCUCAACACAGAGGGCCCUUUAAUGUUGACACCAUCCUGAUAUUCACGAAUGUUAUCACAAACAUUGGCCAAGCUUACAACUCUGGAACAGGUGUCUUUGCUGCACCGGUGAGAGGGGUCUACUACUUCACGUUCACUUGCAAUUCUGGGACUACAGGAAAAGUGAAUGCGGCCCUGUUGAAGAAUGGCCAAAAAAUAGCUGCAGUGAUUGAAAAUGGUCAUGUUGACAGCAUGGGGUCAAAUAGUGUAAUACUGCAGUUAGAUGAAGGUGAUCAUGUUAACAUUAUCCUCUGGAGUGACAACAGCAUCUAUGAUAAUGGAUACAGGAGCACAUUCACUGGUGUCCUGCUCUUUCCAAUGUGAGGAGAGCAUAACAUUUGCUUUUUGUAUGUGUAAUGAUUGUAAAGUUUUGUAGGAAUGUAUGUACUAUAAUCAAACACUGAUGCUCGUCUUCCUUCAGGAAAUACUGCAGGUGCAUUUCUCCAACGUUUAUGCAAACAGGAUUCUGAAGGUUUUACAAAUGUAUGAUUUAUAAAGAAUCACCAAUACAGUAAAACUGGUUUAUCAAACGUCACAGAUGCAUAGGAACCCCCCCCCACUAAGAUAUCCAGCACUAACUAGAGUGAGCCUGAGCACACUGUACUAGAGCAUAUGUGUAAGGACCGACGCCAGAGAUGAGAAGCAGGUACGGGGAGUCAACAUUUAAUCAGGAACAAACAGGUAACAGGACAGGAACAGUAUCAGCACACGGGUAAACAUGGAUAUAUGACAAUCAAUGCAGAAGCAGGGAACAGAGUUGGGAACCAGACAGAUAUAGGGAAAGUAAUGACAGAAGUGAUUGAGUCUAGGUGAGUCCAAUAAUCGCUGAUGCGUGUGACGGGGGGGAGGCAGGUGUGCGUAAUGAUGAUGGCAGGAGUGAGAAGUUCUGGUGAGCCUGGUGCCCUCGAGCGCCAGGGGGGAAGAGCAGGCGUGACAAUAUGUUCAGUUGAAUUGAAUUUCUUUCGCUUAUGUAACCAAGGAGCCUCGGAAACGGAAUGCACCAUACAUACUGCAGUCUCACAGAAAACAGUUUUGUUAACAUAACCUGAUUUAAUAAAAAUCAUUUUUGUUCUGUUCUGGUAAAUAAAACAAAUAUAAGGAUCCAACCUA
Oncorhynchus masou masou (cherry salmon) is the source of this 1621-nucleotide long non-coding RNA. RefSeq lists it as uncharacterized. The record is from RefSeq and is a predicted model, not a curated record. NCBI's taxonomy places the organism in Eukaryota, Metazoa, Chordata, Actinopteri, Salmoniformes, Salmonidae. The transcript is spliced from 3 exons.